ACGAACGCUGGCGGCGUGCUUCACACAUGCCAGUCGAACGGAAAGGCCCUGCUUUUGUGGGGUGCUCGAGUGGCGAACGGGUGAGUAACACGUGAGUAACCUGCCCUUGACUUUGGGAUAACUUCAGGAAACUGGGGCUAAUACCGGAUAGGAGCUCCUGCUGCAUGGUGGGGGUUGGAAAGUUUCGGCGGUUGGGGAUGGACUCGCGGCUUAUCAGCUUGUUGGUGGGGUAGUGGCUUACCAAGGCUUUGACGGGUAGCCGGCCUGAGAGGGUGACCGGCCACAUUGGGACUGAGAUACGGCCCAGACUCCUACGGGAGGCAGCAGUGGGGAAUAUUGCACAAUGGGCGGAAGCCUGAUGCGGCAACGCCGCGUGCGGGAUGACGGCCUUCGGGUUGUAAACCGCUUUCGCCUGUGACGAAGCGUGAGUGACGGUAAUGGGUAAAGAAGCACCGGCUAACUACGUG
RNAcentral lists this ribosomal RNA (467 nucleotides) under uncultured bacterium. RNAcentral describes it as "partial 16S ribosomal RNA". It matches the Rfam family "Bacterial small subunit ribosomal RNA", at positions 29 to 507 of the family's 1533-position model. The record is from RNAcentral.